This 427-nucleotide unclassified non-coding RNA is filed under the name Hevea brasiliensis (rubber tree). Lineage: Eukaryota; Viridiplantae; Streptophyta; Magnoliopsida; Malpighiales; Euphorbiaceae. The record is from RNAcentral.
GCUUUCACUGCACCCAUCGAGUCGGAUUCUACCCAUAUCAUUUUGAUCCCGAUACUGACAGCAAGCAUAAGACCUCUCCAUAUAGCCAGUAACUCAACCAAGAAGAUAUCGUCACAUGUAACUUCAGAGACACAAGCACAUAUAGCAGCACCUUCAUAAUCACGAAGCAAACCACCAAGACCAGCUCUUUUCCGGUCUAUAGAUCCAUCAGUAUUUAGCUUUGUCCAUCCAGGCUUGGGCUUUUUCCAAGUGCAGCACCUUAAUGGUCUUCUAAUAGGCAAAUUAAAGCCUCUUAAUUCCACAAACUUGAGAGAUUUUAUCUGGUUCAAACUCUCAAGUAAAUCUUUUAAAUAAUUUCCCUCCAACUUUGAAGCAAGUUUAGCUUCUUUACUUGCCAUGAUCAUUUCAUGUUCCCUUUGUUCGUCUU